Molecule: ribosomal RNA, 402 nt
Filed under: Lelliottia nimipressuralis
Lineage: Bacteria; Pseudomonadati; Pseudomonadota; Gammaproteobacteria; Enterobacterales; Enterobacteriaceae
Description: bacterial SSU rRNA
Rfam family: Bacterial small subunit ribosomal RNA
Source: RNAcentral
GGGCACGCGGCUGCAGCCUAACACAUGCAAGUCGAGCGGUAGCACAGAGAGCUUGCUCUCGGGUGACGAGCGGCGGACGGGUGAGUAAUGUCUGGGAAACUGCCUGAUGGAGGGGGAUAACUACUGGAAACGGUAGCUAAUACCGCAUAACGUCGCAAGACCAAAGAGGGGGACCUUCGGGCCUCUUGCCAUCAGAUGUGCCCAGAUGGGAUUAGCUAGUAGGUGGGGUAACGGCUCACCUAGGCGACGAUCCCUAGCUGGUCUGAGAGGAUGACCAGCCACACUGGAACUGAGACACGGUCCAGACUCCUACGGGAGGCAGCAGUGGGGAAUAUUGCACAAUGGGCGCAAGCCUGAUGCAGCCAUGCCGCGUGUAUGAAGAAGGCCUUCGGGUUGUAAUAG